Molecule: ribosomal RNA, 742 nt
Filed under: Acinetobacter sp.
Lineage: Bacteria; Pseudomonadati; Pseudomonadota; Gammaproteobacteria; Moraxellales; Moraxellaceae
Also listed under: 1 other name
Description: bacterial SSU rRNA
Rfam family: Bacterial small subunit ribosomal RNA
Source: RNAcentral
ACACAUGCAAGUCGAGCGGAGAUGAGGUGCUUGCACCUUAUCUUAGCGGCGGACGGGUGAGUAAUGCUUAGGAAUCUGCCUAUUAGUGGGGGACAACAUUCCGAAAGGAAUGCUAAUACCGCAUACGUCCUACGGGAGAAAGCAGGGGAUCUUCGGACCUUGCGCUAAUAGAUGAGCCUAAGUCGGAUUAGCUAGUUGGUGGGGUAAAGGCCUACCAAGGCGACGAUCUGUAGCGGGUCUGAGAGGAUGAUCCGCCACACUGGGACUGAGACACGGCCCAGACUCCUACGGGAGGCAGCAGUGGGGAAUAUUGGACAAUGGGGGGAACCCUGAUCCAGCCAUGCCGCGUGUGUGAAGAAGGCCUUAUGGUUGUAAAGCACUUUAAGCGAGGAGGAGGCUACUGAGACUAAUACUCUUGGAUAGUGGACGUUCCUCGCAGAAUAAGCACCGGCUAACUCUGUGCCAGCAGCCGCGGUAAUACAGAGGGUGCGAGCGUUAAUCGGAUUUACUGGGCGUAAAGCGUGGGUAGCCGGCUUUUUAAGUCGGAUGUGAAAUCCCCGAGCUUAACUUGGGAAUUGCAUUCGAUACUGGGAAGCUAGAGUAUGGGAGAGGAUGGUAGAAUUCCAGGUGUAGCGGUGAAAAGCGUAGAGAUCUGGAGGAAUUCCGAUGGCGAAGGCAGCCAUCUGUCCUAAUACUGCCGCUGAGGUCCGAAAGCAUGGGGAGCAAACAGGAUUAGAUACCC